Molecule: ribosomal RNA, 458 nt
Filed under: uncultured bacterium
Lineage: Bacteria
Description: partial 16S ribosomal RNA
Rfam family: Bacterial small subunit ribosomal RNA
Source: RNAcentral
CCUACGGGUGGCAGCAGUGAGGAAUAUUGGUCAAUGGGCGAGAGCCUGAACCAGCCAAGUCGCGUGAGGGAGUACUGCCCUAUGGGUUGUAAACCUCUUUUGUCGGGGAACAAAAGCCGGACGUGUCCGGCUGUGAGAGUACCCGAAGAAAAAGCAUCGGCUAACUCCGUGCCAGCAGCCCCGGUAAUACGGGGGAUGCGAGCGUUAUCCGGAUUUAUUGGGUUUAAGGGGUGCGCAGGCGGAUUUUUAAGUACGCGGUAAAAUCGUGGGGCUCAACCCCAUCCAGCCGUUGAAACUGGGGAUCUAGAGUGUGCGAGAGGUAUGCGGAAUGCGUGGUGUAGCGGUGAAAUGCAUAGAUAUCACGCAGAACCCCGAUUGCGAAGGCAGCAUACCGGUGCACAACUGACGCUCAGGCACGAAAGCGUGGGUAUCGAACAGGAUUAGAUACCCGAGUAGUC